CAGGCAGCCAGGGACUGAAGCUGGACAAAGAUGGGCACAGUGGCAGCAGCAGGAGCCCCACGCCGGCACAGGAGCCCUCCUAGGACACGGUUCCUUCACUGACAGAAAAUCAACAGAAAGCAAAACCCAACUGUGGGUUGAGGCAGAAAAUCAAACCAGUUGUCCAAGCCCAAGCCAAGUGACAGAGGCUCCUUCCAGCAGCUGCACCAGCCUAUGACACGUGUAAACCAAAACAGAUCAGCUACUGCCAACAGGAGCUCUGCCCACUACAGCAGGUGCCAGGAGGGCACACAGAGUCCUCAGAAGCCUUCAGCUGUGUUGUACUCUGGCUGGAGACAGGUCACAGCCUGCUGGGACAAGGGAUUUGCUUAUUUUUGUUUCUCUAGGGAGCAGUUCCAGUGCACAGCCAUUGCACAGAGCACAGAAAGGCCAUGGCACUCCCACAGUGGGACAGCACCAACCCCAGAGCUCCUCCUCAACCACCUGUGCUCCAGCAGGGAACAUGUACCUGGCCAGUCACAGGAAAGCCUCUCCUUAGAAGAAAUUCCCUAAUGCACAGGUUAGUGCUGCCUGGAAUGACUAAAGCAAUGCUCUAAGGGUACAUUAAAUAACUACUUUCAGUGCUAGUUCACCUCUGGCUGCAGCACCUGCACCCAGGGGCUUAGGGCCCUUGCUCACCUGGUGCCAGUGCAGUGGUGAUGGUGACACAGGUGACAUCCAGUCCCCAGCCAUGUCUGACCAGACUGGGGAAGGGCCAUUUCACAGAGCAAACCCCUCACCCAGCCCCUUCAAGAUGCAUUCACCCAGACUGCCCGUUCUGAUCUGUGCUCAGGUGCUGUGGGCUGCUCCAGCCA
RNAcentral lists this long non-coding RNA (854 nucleotides) under Zonotrichia albicollis (white-throated sparrow). Its description in RNAcentral is "lncRNA (ENSZALG00000007135.1)". The record is from RNAcentral. Lineage: Eukaryota; Metazoa; Chordata; Aves; Passeriformes; Passerellidae.